CUUCCCUCUCCCUAUCUCCUUUCCCUCUCCCUAUCUAGCUCCAUCCUUUCCCUCUCCGUAUCCUCCUGUCUCCCUCAGACUCUCCCACCCCAGAUUCCUCACAUCAUCCCUUUCUCCUCCUCUACCGCCUCAUAAUUAUCUCCCUUGACAACUCUUUCUACCCCUUCACUUGUUGACACCUCACGGUGUUAAAAAAGACCAUGGAAAUUGGCCCUUUGGCCCAACAUUAAGUCCCUGUCUCCCAUUUCCCAGCACUAGACAGAUAGCUUUCUAGGCUACAGCAUUUUAAGUGUUCAUCUCAAUACUUCUUAAAUGUUCUGAGAGUACCUGCCUCCACCACACUCUUAGGCGCUGCAACCCCAAUUUUAAAUGCCCUCAAAUCUCCUAACCACCCUCCCCCACUUCUUUAAACCUAUAUCGUCUGGUUAUAGACACCUGUCCCAACCUUUUUACCUCUUCUCUAUUUACCUCCUACCAGUAUCCCCUUCGUCAUCUCUUUCUUUUGUUUCGUCUCCUUCUUCCCACAUCCCUCUCCAAAUCUCUCUGUCCUUUCCUCCUUAUACACUGCAACUUAUCUUCCUCUGUCUCAUCACCUUUUUACACAUUUCUCCAUAUCAACAUUAUUCACUCCAAUCCCUUCCCUCACUUCCUUUCCCUGUUCACCUUUCCCUGUUCUGUCCUUCCAGUACUUUUUCACUUAACUGCUUUUGUCUGCUCCUCCACCCUCUCCCCCUCCACCAUCAGCAUCCCCUCUUCACUAUCAUCCUGCAUUCUCCUCUGGCAGUUUGUCACCUCUUUUCUCUAUCCUCAUCUACUUGGCAUCCUCCCCCCAUCUCCCCCAUACUCCCUCUUUGCAUUCUUACUUUCCUGUUACUUUUCUUUCCCCUCUCCAUAUGCCAGAAUGGCGGUAGUACUCAGGAGAGGGAGUUUGUGGAAUGUCUAAGGGACGUUUUUCUGGAGCAACUUGUUGAAGAGCCCACCAGGGGAUCGGCUGUUUUGGAUUGGGUGCUGUGUAAUGAACCGGAGGUGAUUAGGGAACUAAAGUUGUGGAGUUGUAAAUGGCGAUAGUAGAUCCCAGACCUCCUAAAAAUUCGCAAUGUUUGGUCCAUUCUGCGUAACCAGAAUGGUCUAAGGAGUCAUCUGUGCACAGUGAUGACAAUGAUGAAGCUGCAUCAUCUUGCAAUAAAAAAAAAGCUCUGCCUUCAAUACUAUAUUCCAAGGAAACUCAUCUCCAAACUCCUAGACCUGGGACUCAACACAUCCCUUCGGAACUGGAUCCUUGACUUCCUGACCAACAGACUGCAAUCACUAAGGAACUGAGGAGACAAUCACGUUGGUAGGUCCAGUGUCACACACAGACUAUAUCAGGCAAAGAUGGCAGAUUUCCUUACAAGAAAGGCAUCAGUGAACCCUAACACCACGUGACUGCUUUGAGACAGUGGACUGUCCAUGUUCAAAGAUUCAGCUGCCAGCCUUGAUGAGUAUGCCACCACCAUCACAGACUUUGUCAGCAAGUGUGUGGAGGACUGUGAACCAAAGAGGACAAUACGGGUGUUCCCAAACAGGAAACCAUGGAUGAACUGGGAGAUCUACUCCCUACUGAAGUUGAGGACUGCUGCACACAAAUCUGGUGAUCCUGAUCUGUACAAGAAAUCAAGAUAUGACCUUCGGAAAGCUAUCAGGGAUGCCAAGAGGCAAUACUGACUCAAAAUAGAGUCCCAGACCAGCCAUCAGUUAUGGCAGGGCUUACAUGCCAUAACAGGCUACAAGACGAAGUCGGGCUGCAUGGUUAACAACAGCGCAUGCCUUCCUGAUGAACUUAACGUAUUCUAUGCGUGUUUUGAACAGAAGGGAAGUGGAUUAUCACCACCCACCCUGACAGCCUCCAAUGCAACUGCACCUGUGGUCACUGUGAGGACCUAAGAUCAGUCUUCCGGAGAGUGAACACGAGGAAAGCAUCUGACCCAGCUGGUGUCCCUGGCCAUGUGCUCAGAUCUUGAACUGAUCAGCUGGCAGAAGUAUUUGUGGACGUAUUUAACCUCUCCCUGCUUCAAUCUCAGGUUGCCACCUGUUUUAGGAAGACCACUAUUAUCCCGGUACCGAAGAAAAGCAAGGUAACAUGCCUCAAUGACUAUCGACCAGUGGCUCUGGCAUCCACCAUCAUGGUGCUUUGAAAGGUUGGUCAUGGCACGCAUCAACUCCUGCCUCCCAGACAGUCUUGACCCGCUGCUAUUCACCUAUCCCCGAAACAGGUCUACAGUGGACGCCAUCUCCCUGGCCCUACACUCAGCUCUGGAGCAUCUGGACAGUAAAGACAUCUAUGUUAGACUAUUGUUUAUUGACUACAGCUCUGCCUUCAAUACAAUAAUCCCAAGUAAGCUUGUCACCAAACUCUCAGAUCUGGGACUCAACACCUCCCUCUGUAACUGGAUCCUUGACUUUCUAACAAACAGACCGCAAUCAGUGUGGAUAGGCAGCAAUACCUCUGGCACGAUUAUUCUCAACACCGGUGUCCCAAAAGGGUGCAUCCUCAGCUCUCUACUCUACUCCCUAUACACUCAUGACUGUGUGGCUAGAUUCUGCUCUAACUCCAUCUACAAGUUUGCAGAUGAUACCACCGUUGUAGGCCGUAUCUGAAACAGUGAUGAGUCGGACUACAGGAAGGAGAUAGAGAGCUUAGUGGAAUGGUAUCACGACAACAACCUUUCCCUCAAUGUCAACAAAACAAAAGAGCUGGUCAUUGACUUCAGGAAAGGGGGCGGUGUACAUGCACCUGUCUACAUCAAUGGUGCUGAGGUCGAGAGGGUUGAGAGCUUCAAGUUCCUGGGAGUGAACAUCACCAACAGCCUGUCCUGGUCAAAUCACGUAGAUGCCAUGGCCAAGAAAGCUCACCAGCGCCUUUACUUCCUCAGGAGGCUAAAAAAAUUCGGUUUGUCCCCUUUGACUCUCACCAACUUUUAUCGAUCCACCAUAGAAAGCAUCCUAUCUGGAUGUAUCACGGCUUGGUACAGCACCUGCUCUGCCCAGGACUGCCAGAAACUGCAGAGAGUUGUGGACACAGCCCAGCGCAUCACGGACACCAGCCUCCCCUCCUUGGACUCUGUCUUUACCUCUCGCUGUCCUGGUGAAGCAGCCAGCAUAUCAAAGACCCCACCCACCCGGGACAUUCUCUCUUCUCUCCUCUUCCAUCAGGUAGAAGAUACAGGAGCCUGAGGGCAUGUACCACCGGACUUAAGGACACCUUCUACCCCACUGUGAUAAGACUAUUGAACGGUUCCCUUAUAUGAUGAGAUGGACUAUAACCUCACGAUCUACCUUGUUGUGACCUUGCACCUUAUUGCACGCACUUUCUCUGUAGCUGUGACACUUUACUCUGUACUGUUAUUGUUUUUACCUCUACUACAUCAAUGCACUCUGUACUAACUCAAUGUAACUGCACUGUGUAAUGAAUUGACCUGUACGAUCAGUAUGCAAGACAAGUUUUUCACUGUACCUUGAUACAAGUGACAAUAAUGAACCAAUACCAAUGAGAUUUUAUGACAUUCCAAUAGUGUUAUGAUCACAAUUAUUGAGACCUUCAUCUCAUUCCUUCUUUUACUAGGGACAACAGUCAUAAUUGUUUACAGAAUUUUCUCUAAAAAACAUUAUUAAUUGUUUUCCUGCUCUGCCCAAGACAAUAGAUUGCAGAGAGUUGUGAGCACAGCCUCCCCUCUUUUAACCCUGUCUAUACUUCCAGCUGCCUCAGGAAACAGCCAACAAAAUCAAAGACCCCUCCCACCCCGGUCAUUCUCUUCUCUUCCCCCUUCCAUUGGGCAGAAGGUACAAAAUCUUGUGAACAUGCACCACCGGGCUCAAGGGCAGCUUCUAUCCCACUGUUACAAAACUCUUGAACGGACCUCUUGUGUGAUAAAGAACCUUGAUCUCUCAGUCUACUUUGUCAUGGCCUUGCACCUUACUUGACUACCUACACUGCACUUUGUCUGUAACUGUAACACAAUAUUCUGCAUUCUAUUAUUGUUUUUCCUUUUGUACUACGUCAAUAUACUUAU
Pristis pectinata (smalltooth sawfish) is the source of this 4049-nucleotide RNA transcript. RefSeq lists it as uncharacterized. NCBI's taxonomy places the organism in Eukaryota, Metazoa, Chordata, Chondrichthyes, Rhinopristiformes, Pristidae. The record is from RefSeq and is a predicted model, not a curated record. The transcript is spliced from 4 exons.